Molecule: ribosomal RNA, 109 nt
Filed under: uncultured bacterium
Lineage: Bacteria
Description: partial 16S ribosomal RNA
Rfam family: Bacterial small subunit ribosomal RNA
Source: RNAcentral
CUGCGGUGAAUACGUUCCCGGGUCUUGUACACACCGCCCGUCAAACCAUGAAAGUGACCAACACCCGAAGUCCGAUUCGUCGGCCUAAGGUGGGGGGCAUGAUUGGGUU